UUCUGAAUUCUGCACUGAGGCCUGCUAAGCUCCCUGGUCGGUUCACACGGUGGUGGAGGCAUCUAAUGAACGGCUAGUGACUCUCUCUCUCUCUCCCCCCGCCACCCACUGCCGGCAAAACACAGAGGACACAAUUAGAGAUGGAAUCGCCUUAUUACCAUGAUAAUCGGCUACAAAAUAAAAGUGUUGGGGCAGAAGGUAAUGUAAUAUCCAAGAGUCUCCAAUUCAGGGAGGCUAUAAGGAGGAAAUGGAAUAAUCUUCCGUUUUUUGAAAAAAAUGAGGGCAGCUCGACUCUGAAAGGGAAGGUCGUUUGGCUUCUUGCCACAGAGAUGAAUUGAGGGACAUUUACUGCCACUGCUUAACAUUAAUUUAGCUCCUGCCUUGGGCUUGAGAAUGCAGGAAACAGAAGCAGGGCAGGGGAAAUAGCAACCUUCCCCUCUGCAGAUAGGUAGCUGCUUAGGCACCAAUAUUCUUCCUGUGUUCCAUUCUCAUCUCGUUUUGUCCCUUUUGCAUUGCCUCCCUGGCCCAGAUAACCAUCUCCACGCAUUUCUCUCGCACAAAUAACCUCUCCUUCUAUGAAUUGUAUGCUUGAGCGGUUUACUAGGGCUUUUCUUUGUUAUUAAUAGUCAUCCAGUUUGCAGCACCAUAGAAGGGCAGAGUUGGAAGGGACUACUAAAGUCAUCUAGUCCAACCCCCUGCAAUGCAGGAAUCUUUUGCCCAGUGUGGUGAUCAAACCCGCGACCCUGAGAUUAAGAGUCUCAUGCUCUACCAACUGAGCUAUCCCAGACCUGCAUGUCUUCCUAAUAUGUAUUAUGCCAUGCAGUGGAGGGGGGGGGGAUGCUCGCAGCUUAAUACUGGGCAGUAAAUUGAGUGCCGGCUCCAGAUUUAAUUAUUUAAUUAUUAGAUUUCUUACCUGCUGAUGGGCAUCCGUGGGCAGGGGUUCAUUCAAGGAACCUGCUUCUAUUCACACAGACUUGCUUUAUAUAAUGUAUAUCGGAAGGUCGGCAGUUUGAAUCCCUACGAUGGGGUGAGCUCCCGUUGCUCUGUCUCAGCUUCUGCCAACUUAGCAGUUUGAAAGCACACCAGUGCAAGUAGAUAAAUAGGUACCACUGUGGCAAGAAGGUAAACCGAGUUUCCAUGCGCUCUGGCUUCCAUCAUGGUGUUCCAUCAUGCCAGAAGUGGUUUAGUCAUGCUGGUCACAUGACCUGGAAAGUUGUCUGUGGACAAACGCCAGCUCCCUUGGCCUGAAAGCAAGCUGAGCACUGCACCCCAUAGUUGCCUUUGACUGGACCUAACCGUCCAGAGGUCCUUUACCUGUAAGUAUUACGCCAAGAUAUAUAUGCAAAGGACUUUAAAUACUCUACAAUGUUCUGUGAACCACUCUGAGAUCUUAUGAUGAAGGGCAAUGAAUGAAUGAAUGAAUGAAUGAAUGCUAUAUACAUGCUAGCUGUUAUAAUCAUAAUCAUCAUUUUCUUCCUACAUAAAAGUGCUUUCUGUGCAGCAAUUUUAUCACCUUUACAGCACCCUCUAAUUAUUUCCAGCCUUCUCCAGCUAUACCUCUCUUCGGGGCAUUAAAGCAGCCUUCUUGGUUUAGGGUAGGGUUUCCCAAACUUGGGUCUCCAGAUUAUUUUGGACUACAAUUCCCAUCCUCCCUAGCUAGCAAGACCAGUGGUUAGGGAUGAUGGGAACUGUAGUCCCAAAAACAGCUGGAGACCCAAGUUUGGGAAACCCUGGUUUACAACAUCCACCAACCCAUCACCAGUGAUCCAGCUCAACAGCUGUUUGGCAAACAGUAAAUCCCUUCCUUACUUUAUUUGGUAAAUCCAGGCACUUCCUUUUCUGGCAGCUCUAAUUCAUCCUUUUCAAGGACAAGGUACAAAGAAAGGAUCAGAAGCCCUCUUGCAGUUCCCAUGUUUAUAGGUAUGGAUCCAAACUAUUGGCCUGGUUUACACAUAACACUUAGCCCUGGUUUAUUAAACCCUGACCGGCAGCUAAACUCUGGCCUCUCUAAUACUAACAAACCAUGAUCUGUAGCUAUGGUUUGUUGUUGGCUAACACACCUUGGUUUGUUUAUGGCAUGGUGUUGCGUGUGAACCCUUCCUUAACCAUGGGCACCCUAUUCCAGAGGUUGGCCAAUCUACAAAGGUACAAGGCGAGAGCUGCUGAAAAUUGAGACAAACUUUGAAGAAACAAACCAUGGUUUCUUUUGUCAUCUGUGGGAUGGCUCCUGCUUAACUUGUUUGUAAAACAAACAACAACAACAACAACAACAAUAAUAAUAAUAUUUUAUUUAUAUCCUGCCCUCCCCAGCCGAAGCCGGGCUCAGAGCGGCUAACAUCAAAUGUAUAAUACAUUAACAUAAAAUCAGAACCACAGCUUAGCAUUAUGCACAAGCCAGACCAUGGCUUUCCUCUGCAGAGUGUUACAAAAUGCACCAUCCUUUAACAAGCCCCCACCCACAAGAAAAAAGAAAAUAAUGCUAUGCUAUGCCAUAACAUAACAUAACAUUACAGCAUCCGCAAAAACGGCAGCUGUCCCUUGGAGAUGCACGAUCCACACAGUGCAUUUCAAACUAUCCCCGUAAAAUGUUUUGCUACACUAAAGAUGGCAGAUGCAGUCCUUUAGGGUGAGUUCAUAUUUCUCUCUCAGCGGCGCGACCAUACAUCACAGCGUCUCUGUUCAUUUGGGUCCCCGCUUUGAGAAUGAGUCAUCUUCCUCAGAAGCACUCUGUUGGCAAAGAGAGAGAGAAGGAAAGAGGGAGGCAGGGAGAGAGAAGAGAAGUGAGUUUUAUUAACCACCAGAGAAUCCACUUUUAGGAGCACACUUUUAAUCCCAGACUCAAGAGCCGGCUAUUAAUACACUUCAGCAAGGAAGAAACAAUUCUCAGAACUGCUGGAUGGUGAAGCGAUGGCUGCUGUAUCUACCUAAUCCAUGGCAGAGAGAGAGAGAAGAUUUUAUCUGGGGUAGAAGCUCAGCGACAGAAGUAGCGAAAUGAGAACACUCUUUCCAAUUUAAGGUUGUUUACCGCCCCCCCCCCAUCGCAUUCCACCUUCCAAGCUCUUCGAACAAUAAGGGCAUAGGAAGCUGUCUUAUCAAGCCAUUAGUCCAUCUAGCCCAUGGGUAGGCAAACUAAGGCCCAGGGGCUGGAUCUGGCCCAAUCGCCUUCUAAAUCCGGCCCACAGACGGUCUGGGAAUCAGUGUGUUUUUACAUGAGUAGAAUGUGUGCUUUUAUUUAAAUGCAUCUCUGGGUUAUUUGUGGGGCAUAGGAAUUUGUUCAUUCCCCCCCCCCCCAAUAUAGUCCGGCCCCCCCACAAGGUCUGAGGGAUAGUGGACCGGCCCCCUGCUGCAAAAGUUUGCUGACCCCUGAUCUAGCUGACUGGUGGCAGCUCUCUGGGGUUUCAAACAAGAGUCUUCUUCAGCCCUUUCUACAUGCAAAGUAGAUGCUAGUUUAUUGGGGAUAUGAUUUUCUCAAGGCCGGCCCUUUCAUCAGGCAGAGUGAGGCAGCCAUCUCAGGUGGCAAAUGCUAGGGGGUGGGCAGCAGAGGCAUCUGUUUUUCCAUAACUCCCUGGCCAAAGCAUUCAGUUGAAGGACAGACUGUGUGUGCCACGAAGCCUGGUCUGCCCCUCUAGAACUGGCCCGCUCCCCUCAGGUGCAGUGAAGGAGACUAUUCCAUUGACUGCCCUGACGUAAGAGUCAACGGCCAGUCCAGUCAGCUUCCAUGCCUGCCAUGGGGAGAGUGAAGCGCCAUCUUUGCCUCAGGUGGCAAAAGGCCUUGAGCCAGCCUUGGUUUCCUCCUGCUCUCCUUCAGAAUUCUCUUAAGCUGGGUAACAUUACUGCUUACUCUGGCUCCAGGAUACGCCCACCUCUGGUGCAUGAAGCCAUGUACUCAAGAUGUCACCCACUAUCCAAAUCUAUCUAUUCUUGAGAAACGCCACUGCCUGAUGUCUUUCCCUUCAAACCAGCUUCCAUCCGAUUUGAAAAACGAAAGCCACAUUCACUUCGCGAUCAAGUUGAGGUGUGUACAUUUGAAGCAUUCGUUUUGCAAGUAUAGAUGACAGCACAUGUGCAGAUGGGAGCGUCGUGAAUAGGAUUUUGGGAUAUGUGUGUACACUCCCAACCCCUCUCUGUACUGGCUCCCACCCCUGGACAAAAGAUUCACCCUCAUUUCAGAAAAUCUCAAAGUUUUAUUUAAAAAUUUAGUACAUGAUCUUGGCCUCAGCUCAAGGUUCAGGUUACACAGUUCAAAAGGUGCAGGGACAGAGACUAAGAUACAUGACCAGGAGUAAGUGAAGACCGUGUCCCAACACAUGACCCGUGUCUCCUGUUCGACUUUUAAAGGGAUGGGGUAGGGUACAUCAUUUGUGUGGUUCUUAUCCCAAGAGAGAAGACAGUGUUUGCAGUCAUGUGCCCCCCCCCCCAGGAUGUGUGUAUCUGUUUGUGCCUGUGCUGACAACAAUGUGCCCUUGGCAAUGAGACUCAAGUCCAACCCUCUGAAUUGGUCUGUGAGCAUUUAGAAAAGGAUGCUGUGAUUACUAGGACCCAGCAUGGUCUUCUCAAAAAGAGUAACAGAGUUAAAAACAGAGUAAUAAGCUGGGUGGAUCAGGGGAAUGCUGAGGACAUAGUAUAUCUUGAUUUCAGUAAGGCUUUUGACAAAAUCUCCCAUGAUUUUCUUGUGGAGAAUCUGGUAACAUGUGGGCUGGAUGAAGUAACUGUGGAUUUGUAGCUGGUUGACCGACCGAGUCCCAUUGUGCAAAUGGAAAUUGUUCUACUUGCACAGUUAUUUAGUGGAAUAUUGUCCAUAGUGUAGUUGUGAUCCCAUGGACCUCUAUGACAUCACCUCCUGCGAGGAGCAAGCAGUGGGGAAACACAUGACCUGUUCUGGAAUUAAUCUCUAUGAACUAGCUCCUUUGGCAACAGAUUGCCUGUACAUGGCCAUAACAGAGCCAGACAUGUUUGACCUCUUUAGCAGUCUCUUUUUGCAGCCAGAAUCACAGGGUAGCGGAUAGCUCAGUUGGUAGAGCAUGAGACUCUUAACCUCAGGUUCAUGGGUUCAAGCCCCACGUUGGGGGAAAGAUUCCUGCAUUUCAGGGGGUUGGGAUAGAUGAUCCUUGCGGUCCCUUCCAACUCUAUGAUUCUAUUAUCCAUACUCUGGUUGGAGGGGACCCCCCAAACCCACUUAGCCAACCCCAACCUCAUCACAAGAUAUCCUUUUAACAGCUCCGCAUUUCCAUUUAGAUGAGGUUUAUUCCCCAGGCUGCUCCUUCUGCCACUCCCGUAGUUCACCUUGUCUUUGAGAUCAGUUUGCAGAUAUAUACUGGGCCUCCGAUGCAUCCUGCGCACAUAAAAUAACUCCCAAAUUCUGUGCUCAAAGGAGAAGGGUGGAGAUGCCUCACAGUUUAUGAUAUUUGGAGAAAAAGAAUAUCCAAAAGCUUGAAAAUUGCACGGACGAGGUUAGGAUCAGGAAUGAUGAUUUCCCAAAGAGAAUUAGAGUCAGAGAGCUUGGUUGGAGGAGACCUGGGCUCCCAGAAGCAGGAUCACUGAGAUGGUGUGGGGCAGGGCAGCGGUCCUGUGAUUCGGGUGCACCAGCAGGAAUCCUGGAUGGGCUCUGUUGGCAUUCCGGUGAUGCUGCUACAGGGGACCAGGACCACGAUGAUGCCUCUUCUCACCAGCCUUUCUUGGUUCUUGGGUAUACCCAGUGCAGGUAUCCCAGCUAGCAGGCGAAAGAGGCAGUGUCCCAGCUAGGGCUGAGUCUCGCCACUGAAGUCCACCCUCCCAUCCCAAAUGACUACCCAGAGAGCAAGGGAUGAUGGGGGCAGCAGGAAACUGAUGCUGAUCACUGCAGCAUCCUUCCUUUCUUCUUCAGGGCUGGGCAUGGGCUUGUUUCCCCAUGCUCAUUUUAUUACUUUUGGUUUUAAAUGCUGUACCAUCUUUUUCUACAACAAACAGUGCUUAUCCCCAAGUAAAUAUGUUCAACAUCAGGGCAGCAGAAGCAGCUGUGAUAGUGCUAUUAUUUGAGGGACUUUCAAAUGCAAAACUGUACAUGCUCAGAGUAUUUAUUUAUUUUAUUUUUUGCAUUUUCUUUCUUUCUUUCUAACAUACCAAGGAAUGUUGAAGUAGAAGAGAAAUGUUAAUUGUGUGCUUUGCAACUGAGGCCAGGGUCUAAAAUGACCUAGCUGCAGUGCUGUGGUCAGAAAGCCUUUCCUCACCCCAAACACCUGCAUGAAAUAUCUGUGUUCAUUAGAAAAUAAAGGACAGCUUUCAGCAUCCUUCCUGCAUGUUUACCGGGGCCCUGAGGAGACACAGAGGCAGCUUGAGAUCACAGGGAACAACUCUUAUCUGAUCUUUCCCUGCAAACACUCAAUAAUAGACAGCCCUUGAAAUUUCUCAGUUGUGCUCUGAGGCAAGAAUCAAACUGGAUACCGCUGGGGUUUCCUUUGUAGAAUGAUAAUAAUGCUUUAAAAGGUCAAAUGCAUAUGUGAGAAUUCCCCAAGAAAGUCAAGAGUGGCAAAAGAUGAAUGGCGUUAAUCUAACGGCAGAGGAGUAAAUCUCCUGUUUCAUGAUGUUGAUAUUGCUAUUGAUGCUAGGAUAACAUUUCAUCUGAAAGUCAUUUUAUUAUCAUUUGGGGGGGGGGGUUGCGCUGCUGGGUAUUUUUUCUUUCUUUCUUCUCUUUUUCCUUUUUGCUGUUGUUUGAUACGUCUGUUUUGUGUGUGUCUGUGUGCCUGAAAGAUGGAACUGUCCUAAGUGUUUGUACCUUUUCUUUUAUGAUCCAAAUAAAGUACAAGAACAGAGCAACAGCCGCAAGAGCCCAGAAGAUGGCACUGGAGUCGUGUCUUUCUUCCUCAACUUCUCUGGGAAACUGAUUCCAGUGAUAGCAUUUUAUGAAUGUUAAUUGCUUAGCAGCACAGUGCAAGACCUGUAGAGAUUGGGCAUCUUCUCCAACUGAUCUAUCCGCCUGUUUGAGGAGAUAAUAAAAGGCCCUAACAAUAA
Molecule: non-coding RNA, 6987 nt
Organism: Podarcis lilfordi (Lilford's wall lizard)
Lineage: Eukaryota; Metazoa; Chordata; Lepidosauria; Squamata; Lacertidae
Source: the annotation of a GenBank genome assembly